CCCUACCGUUGAUAUGUACCUUGUCGUGGUGGUAGGGCAGCUAACUAAGCAUCAGACUGAAUGAACAACAUACAUUUUUCAUCAAAGACGCAGAAAAUGCUGAUAAGAUGCAAUGGUUAGGCCAAACAUAU
This 131-nucleotide non-coding RNA is filed under the name Saccoglossus kowalevskii. Lineage: Eukaryota; Metazoa; Hemichordata; Enteropneusta; Harrimaniidae. The record is from RNAcentral.